CCAAUAGCGUAUAUUUAAGUUGUUGCAGUUAAAAAGCUCGUAGUUGAAUUUCGGGAUUGACACAUCGGUCGUGCCUUAAGGGGUAUGAACUGGUGUAGUCAAUUUCUCACCUUCUGGAGAACCGCGAUGCCCUUAAUUGGGUGUCGCGGGGAACCAGGACCUUUACUUUGAAAAAAUUAGAGUGUUUAAAGCAGGCAUUUUGCUUGAAUACAUUAGCAUGGAAUAAUAAAAUAGGACGGCAUGAUUCUAUUUUGUUGGUUUCUAGGAUCACCGUAAUGAUUAAUAGGGAUAGUUGGGGGCAUUAGUAUUCAAUUGUCAGAGGUGAAAUUCUUGGAUUUAUUGAAGACUAACUACUGCGAAAGCAUUUGCCAAGGAUGUUUUCAUUAAUCAAGAACGAAAGUUAGGGGAUCGAAGACGAUCAGAUACCGUCGUAGUCUUAACCAUAAACUAUGCCGACUAGGAAUCAGACGAUGUUAAUUUUUUAAUGACUCGUUUGGCACCUUAUGAGAAACCAAAGUGUUUGGGUU
This 527-nucleotide unclassified non-coding RNA is filed under the name uncultured Glomeromycotina. RNAcentral's name for it is "SSU rRNA". It matches the Rfam family "Eukaryotic small subunit ribosomal RNA", at positions 591 to 1113 of the family's 1831-position model. The record is from RNAcentral. Lineage: Eukaryota; Fungi; Glomeromycota.